GACGAACGCUGGCGGCGCGCCUAACACAUGCAAGUCGAACGGAAAGGCCUGCUUUCCCUUGUGGGUUGCGGGUACCCGCGUGGCGAACGGGUGAGUAACACGUGAGUGAUCUGCCCCCAAAUUGGGUAUAAGCCUGGGAAACUGGGGCUAAUGCCCGAUAGGACUGCAGGGGGGUUCCUGUGGUGGAGAACGAUGUUCUAGGGGUUGGGGAUCAGCUGGCGGCCUAUCAGCUAGUUGGUGGGGUAAUGGCCUACCGAGGCGGCGUCGGGUAGGCGGCCUGGGAGAGCGGACGUCCACAGGGGAACGGAGACACGGCGCCGACGCCUACGCGCAGCAGCAGUGGGGAGUCAGGCGCGGUGGGCGGAAGCCUGAGGCAGCAACGCCGAGUGAGGGAUGCCGGCCGUCGGGUUGUAGACUCCUGUCGGCCGCGAGGAAGCCGCCUGGUUGGAAGGGUGGUGACGGUAGUGGUAGAAGAAGCACCGGCUAACUACGUG
RNAcentral lists this ribosomal RNA (494 nucleotides) under uncultured bacterium. RNAcentral describes it as "partial 16S ribosomal RNA". It matches the Rfam family "Bacterial small subunit ribosomal RNA", at positions 28 to 507 of the family's 1533-position model. The record is from RNAcentral.